RNAcentral lists this ribosomal RNA (487 nucleotides) under uncultured bacterium. RNAcentral describes it as "bacterial SSU rRNA". It matches the Rfam family "Bacterial small subunit ribosomal RNA", at positions 199 to 705 of the family's 1533-position model. The record is from RNAcentral.
AGGGAAAGAUUUAUCGCCGAAAGAUCGGCCCGCGUAAGAUUAGCUAGUUGGUGAGGUAAUGGCUCACCAAGGCUACGAUCUUUAGCUGGUCUGAGAGGAUGAUCAGCCACACUGGGACUGAGACACGGCCCAGACUCCUACGGGAGGCAGCAGUGGGGAGUAUUGGACAAUGGGCGCAAGCCUGAUCCAGCCAUGCCGCGUGAGUGAUGAAGGCCUUAGGGUUGUAAAGCUCUUUUAGCAGGGACGAUAAUGACGGUACCUGCAGAAAAAGCCCCGGCCAACUUCGUGCCAGCAGCCGCGGUAAUACGAAGGGGGCUAGCGUUGCUCGGAAUCACUGGGCGUAAAGCGCACGUAGGUGGGUCGUUAAGUCGGGGGUGAAAUCCCAGAGCUCAACUCUGGAACUGCCUUCGAUACUGGCGACCUUCGAGUUCGGGAGAGGUGAGUGGAACUGCGAGUGUAGAGGUGAAAUUCGUAGAUAUUCGCAAGA